This is a non-coding RNA of Parelaphostrongylus tenuis, 73 nucleotides long. The record is from the annotation of a GenBank genome assembly. NCBI's taxonomy places the organism in Eukaryota, Metazoa, Nematoda, Chromadorea, Rhabditida, Metastrongylidae.
GCGUCGGUGGUGCAACGGUCUAGCACAUGCUCCCGGAAAGAGUAAGAUCUGAUUUCGAAUCCCGGCUGAGGCA